RNAcentral lists this long non-coding RNA (588 nucleotides) under Bos taurus (domestic cattle). RNAcentral's name for it is "long non-coding RNA NONBTAT018465". The record is from RNAcentral. Lineage: Eukaryota; Metazoa; Chordata; Mammalia; Artiodactyla; Bovidae.
UAGAGGCUGCCCCACUGGUUCUUAAGUAUUUGGUGAAUGUAUAGAAAAGCAUUUUCUGAGUCUAAACUACUGCUAGUUUGAGUCUCAUUUUUCUCCAUUGGCUUUUGUCUUGCUUAUGUUUCUUAGUCUGUAUCUCCCUGGAUCCCCAGAUUGAAUCUUUAUGACCACUAUUUGUUCUUUUACACUUUUUUCCUUGACCCAAUAUUAACCUGCUUUUCUCUAAUUUAGGACUAUGUCCAGCCAAAGUGCAUUAAAGUAAAUCCUGCCAGGUCCUUAAGUACCAUUGUCUAGCAAAUAGUAAUUGUUUACUUUUUAAAGCUUCACUUUUAAAGAAUUUUUAUAUAACUAUUAAUAUGUAUUAUUCAAUCAAAACUUCAAUGAGUGACCAUUUUAUGAAUGAGAAAGUGAGGGAAAAUAUUUUAACACUUAAUCAUUAUAAGAUUCAGAUUAUGGAAUAAAAUGUAUAAAAACCUAAAUAUGUGUGAGAUUCCUUGAAUUCUAUUAUUCAUAAUUUUGAUGCUGCUUGCUAAAAUAAAGCCUUUUUUCCUAUUCACUCAGGGCACUUUCUAUAAUUUGAAAAGUUAUAUU